GCUGAUUGUGUCCCAGCACCGGGCAGUGGCACUCCCAGCACAGGACAGUGGAGGCGGGACGCUCAUUCAGCAACAGCCUGACCACGUCGAAUGGCAAAGGGCUCCCCAGACUGACAUCUUCACCUCAGGUCUAACAUUUUUUGAAAUAAAAAGCUGGGAAGAAAACACACUCUAGAAGAAUGAACCAGUCCAAGCAUUCAUCUGGCAAUAUCGAUCAAAACUGUUAAUACCCACACCCCUUAACCUGCAGUGCACUGACAGGUACGUGUUGCACAGGUCUUACUGCAGCACACGCCAAGAUGUAUAUAGGUCUUCACUGUCAUAACAAAAACCCAGGAAGAAGCCAUCAGUGUGGGGUCGGGUAUAUACAUCACGGUACGAGGCAACACCAUGCAGUUACUAGAAACAAGGUAGAUCUGCAUGGAUUAAUAUGGAAAGACUUCCAAAUUGUAUUAACAAACUGCAGAAUAAUAUGCCUACCAUGAUUCUGUUCAGACCCAUUUUUAAAGAAUACAUAUUUCUGCUGGUGUUACGCAGGGGUUUUUUCCCUAGGAUAUGUAAGUGACUGUUAACAAAGGCUUCCUUUGAUGAAAGGAAUUAUGGGUCAGGGGACCCAUAGACUUUUUAUAUCAUUCUGAAUGGUUUAAACAUU
Long non-coding RNA from Aethalodelphis obliquidens (Pacific white-sided dolphin), 652 nucleotides. RefSeq lists it as uncharacterized. The transcript is spliced from 2 exons. The record is from RefSeq and is a predicted model, not a curated record. NCBI's taxonomy places the organism in Eukaryota, Metazoa, Chordata, Mammalia, Artiodactyla, Delphinidae.